This is a long non-coding RNA of Folsomia candida, 2215 nucleotides long. RefSeq lists it as uncharacterized. Lineage: Eukaryota; Metazoa; Arthropoda; Collembola; Entomobryomorpha; Isotomidae. The record is from RefSeq and is a predicted model, not a curated record. The transcript has 3 exons.
AAUCUCGUAUGUAAACUGGUAAUUUUAAGGAUAUGCAACUGAAGCGCUGACGAAUUGGCGUGACUGACAUGAAGAGAACAAUAGUUCAAUAUAAAUUCGUGUAACGGUGUUAUUGCGCAGAUCUGUAAGAAUUUUAAUAUUUAUCUAGAUAGCAUAUGAAUUUAUAACUUAAAUUCAGAUUUCAUGAUAGUCUUUUAGAAAAAUUAAAUUUUCGACACUAUAAUCCAGUAAAGCCAAAAAUACUACGGUAGAUACACUGUGAACGUGUAUUUAGGAAAGACGGAGAGGGCGAAGAAGCAUUUUUUUAUGUCGAUAGUAUUGAAAACCUUGGGGAAAUUAAAAGCCUAUGCUGUACGAGAUAGAUCACCAGAGAAUAAUAAUAUCACUUUAUUACUCACUGUUGACGACUGCUGUGUGUUUGUCCUGCUCAAGAGCAACUUGUAAAUAUGUGUGUAUCCAGAAAACCUUGCCUUCUUCUUUCCUAGUCCAAGCUAAGCGAACAAAUGUGAGGCAAUGAUUCGAGUCGGAUAAAUUGCCCAAGCCAACUCAAUUGCAACAUGCGUUCUCUUGUGUUUGACAAUGUUUCUAAUUAAAACUAAGCCAUUAACAUAACGUCAAUUAGUUCCAGUAGGCGUUGCAGAGACCGAUCGACGUGGUCCAUACAUAAUUUCAUCCUGGAUGUUAAUAUGCAUCGGAAAAUGAGUUCGCCGCCGCCGCCUAUCUUUGCUACUUUCAUGUGCAUCAAACUAAAUCAGUCAACCCUCUUCAUCAUUCGAAAAGCUGUCACUUUGACGAAGAUUGCUUGCGGAUAAAAUAAAGAGAUAAUUGCACUAAUUGCAGUUCUGGCAGUUUGAAUAAAAACUGUGUUUUUUUCAUACAACAGCUACCAUCGUUGUAUUUAUUAUCUGUCUUUUAUAAUAUAGAGAUUACAAUUGCAAGUUGGACGUUUUAUGCGUGUAAUAGUUACGUAUCUGUGAAUACUUGGAGUUGAUUUUCUACUUUGUAAUCAGGUUUAUAAGAUUCCAGAUUUUUAAUAUUUGCGUUUCUCACAAAUUGCAGUGAUUAUCAAGAAAUUUUUGAUCAUAAAAAUUGAACAAACCAUUUAACAAAAGCUGUUAAUAGUAAUAAGUAGGUUUAAUAAAUAGUUCAUAUUUAUUACAUAAUGACAACACAAACUAGGUUUAUCUAUCUCAGUUUCAGAUAUUAAAAUUCAAUGAAAUGUAAAAAAAACACCGAAACGACGUUGAUAAUUAAUAAAGUCAUGCCUGCGAAUAACGGUCUUUCCAGUAAUGAAACGACAUUAAUUGUAUGUGCGGAGCACUCUCGUCUCCAAAUGAAGACCCAGGGAAAUCUCCGACUGUUUUUGAAAGUACUUACGUGAGCAAUGCAAACAGUAAAAAGUGCAUAAAAGUAUUCGUUUGGGAGGCCGGGGCGAAAAGAGUGGAGGGGAGUGGCACAGGGAGCAGGAAAUUCACGGGAGGGAAUAUUUUAGCAGUAAGUAAAGGCGAGUAAAUUGAAAUGGAUAAUUAAAAGGAGAGCCACUGGGGAAUUCAAUGAUAUUCAAAUAGCCGAGUUGACAGUUUUUUCCCAACGGGAAUUUAAAGGGAAGAAAGGAAAAGAUGGGCUCACACAUUUAUUUAUUCGAGUCGAACAACGUCAACAUAAAUGUUCACAUGUUCUCAUUUCCAGGGAACAAAAUGGAAUCCUAUUCUCGCAGUCUCCAUCAAUCCAUCCGUGGAUGUGCACUUUUACUUUACUUCAUCCUUGUAAGGAAAGAUAUCUCUUCCUGGAUAUAAAAAAAUGAACACAAGAGAAUGUGGCACCACCGACCGACCACAACCAAGCCCAUCCGAACCAUAUCAUCAUCAUCGAACUGCAAUUGUCAGCCAAGGGUCGACAGUUAUCGUUUUGCGGACUGGGCGAUUUCCAUUGCGCUUUUCCUGGUUUUCUCAAGGGCUCUUCUCAGGCAGGGUUUCGAUUGAAGAUUUUCAUGCAAUUCACGUCAUUUCUUGCCUCUCCCAAAAUACCUGAGAGGGGAAACAUGUGAUACUUUAUACUUUGAGUUUACAUGGGUAGUGGCAAAGAGCUUUCGAUGAGUCAGAGCAAGAAAAAAGUUACUGACAUGCCCCACCUCGCUCUUCCAUCCAGUUUAGAGGAGGAUGCCAACGUGAAACUUGUGAAAUGUUAUAUUGCAAGACAAAAGUAGAGAUUUGUA